Molecule: long non-coding RNA, 464 nt
Organism: Carassius auratus (goldfish)
Lineage: Eukaryota; Metazoa; Chordata; Actinopteri; Cypriniformes; Cyprinidae
Exons: 3
Source: RefSeq, a predicted model, not a curated record
UAACACCCGCUUUAUGACUCAAAGGAACCGUUAAAUGAUUCGUCAAAAAGAUUCAAAAUUCCCAACAAGAAGAAACAGAUCUGUGCAACAGGUGUGUUGGUAGUUUGAUCCUUCUACAUAAUUCGUGAAUAACGCCAACACAUUCAAGAGGAAUAUGCUUUGUCUGCGGUUUUUGCCUCGACCUGGAUUUGGAGAAAAUGACCCAUUGUUAGACAGAUCUGCAGGAGUGCAGAUUCAUGGCCACUGAAUAAGAAAGCUGACAGCCGAGGCAAAGAGCACUCCGAAUGCGCAGUCAGUCUUUUGUGGGGCCGGACUAACUUACAGGUAAUACUUCCACUCCAUUUAAUGAUGCACUCCAUCUUUCUCAUGUGUCAUGAGGCUUUUCUCUCAUACAGAUACUAAAUAGCAUAUAUACAAUUUGAGAAAAUUACUUUUUUUUUUUUUAUUUCCAAAACUCUUCAAAA